Long non-coding RNA from Triticum aestivum (bread wheat), 386 nucleotides. RefSeq lists it as uncharacterized. The transcript has 2 exons. The record is from RefSeq and is a predicted model, not a curated record. Lineage: Eukaryota; Viridiplantae; Streptophyta; Magnoliopsida; Poales; Poaceae.
AUGGGUGGCAGGGGUUUCCGCGGCGGCGCUGCCGGUGCCGGGUGGUCGCAAGAUCCGAGGGGGUUGCGAGGCGAGCGUUCUUCCUUUUCCGGCGGCGACCUGCCCGCCGGACUCACAGAUGGACAUCUCUCUCCAACUUGAGAUUGAUCGUGGUAAAAGCCUGGAGUAGCUGAAAGGAGGUUGUGUUGGCCAUAGAGUAUAGUUUCUCUGAGACUCAGGUUCCACUACGAGAAUGAACCGGUCGCACCAGUCCAAGAUCUGCUUCUUUGAGAUGACCAUGUCGCUCCCAUAUCCUUCCAUUCUGAACUCUUUGCCAUCCACGAAGUUUGAGUGCUUCUGCUUCUCUUCCAGUGAGAGUUUGUAAAAUUAUCUUGUCACUUUCAUCA